This 5525-nucleotide long non-coding RNA is filed under the name Sus scrofa (pig). RNAcentral describes it as "lncRNA (ENSSSCG00050039994.1)". Lineage: Eukaryota; Metazoa; Chordata; Mammalia; Artiodactyla; Suidae. The record is from RNAcentral.
UCAGCCUUCCCUUCACCCCUGUACCUGUAUACCCCCACCCCCAUAUUAUGUAUACUUAACUGUGGUCAAGAAGAGGCCAAUUGUAUAACUUUGCUCUUAAAACCAUGUAGAAUUGGCUGAAGCUGCGAUGCCAAUAUGUGGCUUACAUGCAUCCCUUUCCCUAUUCUCAUUGCAGACAUCAGCUCAAGGCAUGCCUUCUUGCGUAGCCAGAAGGCGGUCAAUUUUAGGGAGCCGUUACUGGUCAACCAGAGUUAUCUUGUGAGAAAAUCUCGCUGUUCUCAUUGGAAUAGAGAGUUUGGGAUGAGUACUAAAAGUUCUUUAUCUUUUUCCUUCAAGUCUAGGAUUUGAUAUGGCCCAAAUUAAGAGAUCUUGCUUAUUAUCUUAGAUUGGUAAGUGUGUUAGCAUUUUAGUAACUUUCUGAGUAUACUUAAACACACUUGAAUUUAGCACAACCAAAUUGAGUUCUGUCACCAUAAACCUUUUUAUGAAAUAUUCUGUUAGGAAACGUUAGAUGCCACUACAGUUCAUUUUUGGACAACUUUUCUGUAAAUUUACACUCAAAAAGUUAUCCUUCAUUUGGGAUGGGGAAUAGGCUGUGUCUUGUGAUCUAACUUAAUUCAUUGUUAAGUUUGAUGUGUUAGUCAAGGUUUUCCAGAGAAACAUAACUUCUAAGCUGUGUGUGUGUGUACUCGUUUGUGUAUGUGUGUGAGAGAGAGAUGUUUAAGGAAUUGACUCACAUAAUUGUGGAGCUGACAAGUCCAAAAUCUGCAGGUUAGGCCAACAAGCAAGAGCUGAUGUUGCGUUUUAAUUCCAAAGACAGUCUUCUGGCAGAAUUCGCUUUUCGAUCAGGCUUUUUGAAAUUAAAGUCUACAAAUAGUUUUCGGUUGAUUUAAAUCUUUUCUUUUUAGGGCCCCACCUGCAACACAUGGAAGUUCCUAGGCUAGGGGUUGAAUUAGAGCUGCAGCUGCUGGCCUACACCACAGCAACUCCAGAUCUGAGCUGCGUCUUCGACCUACACUGCAGCUCAUGGCAGUACUGGAUCCUUAACCCACCAAGGAGGGGCAGAGGUCCAACCCUCAUCCUCAUGGAUUUGUCGGUUUCAUUACCACUGAGCCACAAUGGGAACGUCUGUUAAUGUAAAUAUUAAUCCUCACUUUAAAAAAAUACUAUUCAGAAACAUCUAGAAUAAGGUUUAACCAAAUGUCUGGGUCCUGUGGCCUAGCCAACUUCACACAGUUGAGAGAGACUGACUCAUUCAGUGAUGAUUGAGUACCUAAUAUGAACCAGGCUCUAUGCUAGAUAUUGGAGGACCUCAGCAGAUUUAAAAAGAGAAAAAUAUAGUCAACAAUUUUUUUUUCUUGUCAACUAAUCUUAGAAAUAGAAAUUAGUCAUGCUUAUACUAAGUAUGGAAGGGAAACUUUCUUAAAAAAUAUGUAAUGGCAGAUAUAUAUUCAGUGUCCAAUAAUUUUAUAUUUAAUUUUAAAAUAAAUUUAGAAUUACACUGAAUUAAAAAUUUAUGUUUGGUUUUAGAAUGACUUUAUUCUUGAGUGUGUUAUUUUAGAAAUACUCUUUUAAGCUUAACAAAAUGCAAAUCUCUUUAGGAGUAACUUGUGUUGAGAGAGAAAAACGCUAUUUCAUCCAGACCUCUGCUCUGUUUUCUCAACGAUGAAGAGCACUGCUUUUUUCAUAUCACAGGAGAGCCCGGUUUCAGCCUAAGUAGACAUUUACCUCUUCUGUUGAAAUAUAUCCUCUGGCCUUGUCUACCUAAAUUAGAGUGAGAUUUAACAUGCUGAGGGAAGGGGAGUCUUCAGAAAGGCAUGUCAAACGUUUUCCUCUUUUAUUUCCUUUUGAAUUAUUAGCAGAAAUGGUGAAAAUUUUGUUAGGAAAAAGGGAAACUAAGGAUUUGCCAUAUGGAAUGAAAUGAAUUAGUAUAUGAUAAUACUUGGCAUGAAGUUUAAAUCAUUGUGGGGCCAAAAAUUGAUGACUACUUACACAUUCUUGUGGGGUUUAAUUCUCAAAUUAGUUAAUAUGUUAGCUAAAAAUGAUUAAGAUUAAAUUUUCCACUGCUAAGGUAAAGGUCUGAAUUCUGUAUAGGGUGCAGUAAUUCUGUUAAGAGUUGUGCCUGUGAAGAGCAUGUGGGGCUCCUUUUGAUGGGUGAUCUGGGGCCGGAUUGGCUGGAGGUGGGCCUCUGAAUGCCGGCUGUCCUGCCUCAGUUCUCUUUAGCACCCGUCUAUUAUUUUGUUUUUGUUCCCAGGCAAAUGACUAUAAAAUUCCCCGUUUAAAACAAAACAAACUUUUAAAUAUAUGUUUGUGUAGGUCAGAAAUCCAGUAUGGGUCUCCCCAGACUGAGACAAGGUGUGAGAAAAGUCAGUUUCCUGUUCUUUUAGUCUGUUGGCAAAAUUAAAUUCUCGGGGGUUAUAGGACGUAGGUCUCUGUUUUCUUGUCUGUAAACUGCGAGCCCAUUCCACCUUCUUUGGGAGCUACAUCUUGGCUCAUGGACCCCUACUUCCAAUUUCAAAGCCAGCAACAGCAGUUCGAAUCCUUCUCAUUGGCACCUCUCUUGACUCUCCUUCUCUCAUUGCAUCUUUUCUUCUGAUUCAUGUGAUUAGGUUCAGCUCAGGAUAAUCUAGGAUAAUCUCACCAGCUCGAGGUCCAUAACUUUAAUCGCAUUUUCAAAGUCCCCUUUGCUGUGUUAGGCAAAAGAUUCCAGGGAUUAAGACGUGGGCAUAUUUGGGGGCUGUUGGUGCAUUAUUCAGCCUUCCACACCUCCUUUUCACUCCUCAGAAUGUCCCAGUUUCACCAUCCAAUCUGAGUAGCCAGUUGAAGUAUUUAAAAUAGGAAUAAAAACUAAAACUCAGGUUUCUUCCUCCCUUUUAAAUUUAUGUUUCAGUUCUUUCCCUUUUUGUUUCCUCUCCUGCUUCCCUUUCAUACCUUUGCAAAGGUCAUGAAUCGUUUUCCUGGCUCACUUGUUAGAAGUCAGUGAGUGGGAAGUGUCUGUCAGUCCUCUUCUGUCCAUUAUUUAUGGAUAAAGGAGCCACAUGUUUUAUGGUGUGGUGGCUUCCAUCACUCUUUUAGUCUUUUGCUUUUGAAGCCUGUGACUCUCAUGUUCCUCAGUGUUUAGUGACAAGGUAGCCAGUGAAUCCUGAGGGUGUGGCAUCUAAAUUUGUGCUGCUGCUUGUGCUUGAGCCUGUCCUUAGACCGUUACAUGGGAAGAGGAGGAAGAGGAGGAAUUAAGACCGGCUUUUUUCUCCCUCUGCAUUUAGGCUCUAUUUUGUACCAAAAAGAUAGCUGGGCAUUACAUUUAUUUAAAUAGCUGCUGAUUUUUUUCAGAGGGCAUGGUUUUAUAUUCUAGAGACAAUUUUACUAAUACAACUGCAUUUUUAUCAAGUUAAGUACUUGAAUGUUUUUAUUUCACAUUUUGAAAUUUUUUAUUUAUUAGAUUAAAUUACAUUAAUUGAAGAAAACAGUUGUGUGUCUUACGUGUAUCUAAAGACCAAAUUGCCGUUUCUAUCUACUCUUCAACUUAAAUUUGUAGUUUGGAACAUUGCCAACAGCAGAAAAUAUAAUUUAUAUUCAAAUGGAUUAAUUUGUUCCUUGGACAAUUUAAAAAAAGACUAAUUUAUGAUUUUUAAUGCUGUAUCUUAUUUUAAUAAGCUAAGUAGAUAUUUGAUACUUGCUAAUUUAUAUAUACUUGAGUCCUUAAUUUAAUCGUGAAUCCAUCAGAGUUUAGAUUUAGUUAAGUAAUGCAUAAGAUCUAAAACCAGUGCUACAUACUUCUAAAGUUCAUUUCUUUUUUUUCCCAUUCACAAUGCCAGUUUUACACUCCAUUUGCUGUCAGUGGAAAUGCAGGCGGCAGACACAGACAUAUUUAUCAUCACUGAGUUCACUGGAUCAUACAGGAAAAGUACAUUAAGAUGCCAUACAGAAAGUCUAACACACAUAAACAACCACUUAGCAUUUUUAAGAACAUAUCUGACUUAUUGAUCAGCUUAAAUAUCUUUCAUUCGAGCGUGUUACCCACGUGGAGCGCAUGCAUUCACGUACUUAUCUAAGCAAGAGCUGCUUGUGCUGAUGAAUGAGCACAUCUCCCCUUUAUGUAUCACCACGGAGAUCAAACCUUAGAAGGCUUUCCCCCUUCCAUCGGAAUCCCUAAAUCUUGUCACAAUUAAAUUAUUCUCGGGGUUCUUUAGAUAAGGUGCACUCCGGAAGAUAGCUGUAGAACACCUGAUUUUACACUGACAUUUGUGUUUGGUGUUCUGAGCCUCUUUUCCUGAAAUUUGUGUUGCUGUUUGUUGUUCUAGGCCCAGUGGCAGAUGCGGUGGGGAAUGGGGACUCUUCUUAAUUUCUCUUUUACUUAUGAACUCUUACGUUCUUCUAUAAAUGCUACCCUAGUAAAUUAGCCUCACCUCAGAUUGUGUGUAUGUUUAAAAAAUAUGUGCAAUAACUGUUAGAUUUUUUUUUUCUAAUUGGAGUAUAUUAUCAAAAUUAGGAAAUAGCAAAAUAUAAUACCUAUUUUACAUGGAUACCAACCUAAACCUUAGAAAACAGUAAUAAGAAAUAAUACAGAUAUGAAAAAAAUAGGGGGAGUAAUUUAUUUAAAGGAUAAAGAACAGAUGAGUAUGUUUUCAUUUUAGGCCUUUAUGGGCAUUUUAUGUGCGUUCUAGAUUUGAGACAUUUUAAGAGAAAAAUGUCCUAGCCUUUUCUUUUAGUGAAACAAUACAACUGGAAGUUAUGUGUUUAAAAGUUUUAUGGUUUCCUCAGAUAAAUACUUUAUGUCCUAAUAUUUUCUCUCUCUAAAACAAAAAAGAGAAACAGAAUAGUUGCAAAUUAUGGUUCCUUGCAUACUUUCUAUGACCCUGUGCAGUUGGGUAAGGUUUUGUGUCCUCCUUUCUUGAAUCAUUCCUUUUGGACUGAACUAGCUCAUGGCGCCAGUCAAGCUGUUUCAUUUUAUUGUUGUUAAUUUCCAUAGAUAUGUUUUUAGAAUUUGUAAACGGGUGUGGUAUAGUCUUCAUUUCUGCUCUUUACUCAUCCUUUCCCUUCCUCUUCCAGAUUUGCACUAUUACUUCUUCAUCAUGCAAUCUAAAAUCUGUAGCUUCAGGAGUUCCCAUUGUGGCUCAGCAGGUUAAGGAUUCGAUGUUGUCUCUGUGCGGAUGCAGGUUUAAUUCCUGGCCUUGCCCAAUAGGUUAAGGAUCCAGCAUUUCUGCAAGCUGUGACAUCAGUUGCAGAUGCAGUUCGGAUCCUGUGUUGCCAUGGCUGUAGGCCACAGCUGCAGCUAUGAUUCUACCCAUGGCCUGGGAACUUCCAUAUGCCACAGGUGUGGCAAGUAAAAAAAAAAAAAAAAAUCUGGAGUUCUGCUGUGGGUACAAUAGGAUUGGUGGGAUCUCUGUAGCAUCAGGAUGCAGGUUUGAUCCCUGGCCCGGCACAGCGGGUUAAAAGAUCUGGUGUUGCCACGGGUGUGGCAUAGUUCGAAACUGGCUUGGAUCUUAUCCCUGGCCCAGGAACUUCAUAUGCCUUGGGGUGACCCC